GGUUUAUUGAAUAUAUACAGCUAAAUUGCAAACAGAUAAAAACAUUGGCAGGAUUAUUGUAAUAACCUGCAGUUUCAUAAGACUAUAUAUUUAAGACGCAGGUGGCACUGUGGUCUAAACCACUGAGCUUCUUGGGCUUGCUGAUCAGAAGGUUGUCAGUUCAAAUCCCCACAACGAGGUGAGCUCCUGCUGCUCUGCCCCAGCUCCUGCCAACCUAGCAGUUCAAAAGCAUGCCAGUGCCAGUAGAUAAAUAGGUACUGCUGUGACGAGAAGAUAAACACUGUUUCUGUGCACUCUGGUUUCCAUCACAGUGUUCCGUUGCCCCAGAAGUGGUUCAGUCAUGCUGGCCACAUGACCCGGAAAGCUGUCUGUGGUCAAACGCCGGCUCCCUCAGCCUGAAAGUGAGAUGUUCGCCGCAACCCCAUAGUCACUUUUGACUGGAUUUAACCGUCCAGGGGUCCUUUACCUUUACCUAGAUUUAAAGCAGAUAAUUAAUUGAGCAAAUUAAGUGAAUUUGGAUAUGCAGAAGAUAUUUUAAAAAAUAAUUUAAGGAACUGCAGUAAGACGGGGAAGGAAGUCAAACUCUGAAAUAUUAAAAUGACUGUUCAGUUAAUGAAAUGUAUAAAUUUGAAAAGUAUAUCUAUAAAAACUUGCUGCCUUGCAUCUAGCAUGCAGGGGCCUGAUGGAGGAUGGAAGUGGCACAGAGGAGGAGUUAAGAGACAGGGGGAAAUGGGAUAACCCCAAAACCUUGAUAUUACAAAUGCAUGUUACACAGCACAGUGGCAUGUAAUUGAUUUAGAAAUGCUUUUUGCGUUAUUGCUGAAAAGCGGGUUUUAGCGCUGGGGGGAAAAACAGUGGGGAUAACCCCUAAGCUAAAUAACAGCACAGGGAGUGAACUAAGUGCCUGAAUAGUUGUGGCUAAUCCUCGGCUAACAGAAGAUCAUAUCUUCUUACUUCUCUGAAAUCCUUUGCAGCCCCACCUUUCUGUUGCCACUUCCUAAGCAAACACUUUCUCACAGCCACAUGCCUAAACCACAUCCUAAUGCCAAGGCAGACUGCCCUUUGUUAAUGAUGAGCAUGUUGACGCUAAGCAGGCACCUGAUUCUGCUACCUCUCAGUCUCGGGGUUCUUCCAGGUGGGGGCUGAAUAUUGCAAACUGAUCAUUGGCAGGUGACACAGUUUUCGGUAACUUUUUGGAUUUCCCACCCAAAAUGUAAAUCUGUAUUAAAUGGCUGGGGGUGAGGGAAGGAUAGUGGCUGGCAUUUUGAUUCCAGCAAUGCUGCGUGGAUGCUGUGAAAAGCCUGCAUGCGCAAGAAGCAUAGAUACAUGUCUGGAUCAUUAUUUGGGCAGUGUGGGAGAGAGAGGGAGAGAGAGACAGGGAGGGAUAGAGAGAUAGAGAGGGAUAGAGAGACAUAGAGAGAUAGAGAUGGAUAGAGAGACAUAGAGAGAUAGGGGU
Non-coding RNA from Podarcis lilfordi (Lilford's wall lizard), 1456 nucleotides. NCBI's taxonomy places the organism in Eukaryota, Metazoa, Chordata, Lepidosauria, Squamata, Lacertidae. The record is from the annotation of a GenBank genome assembly.